RNAcentral lists this ribosomal RNA (448 nucleotides) under uncultured bacterium. RNAcentral's name for it is "bacterial SSU rRNA". It matches the Rfam family "Bacterial small subunit ribosomal RNA", at positions 31 to 518 of the family's 1533-position model. The record is from RNAcentral.
GAACGCUGGCGGCGUGCCUAAUGCAUGCAAGCCGAACGGCCUGAUUAUCAGGCAGUGGCAGACGGGUGAGUAACGCGUAAGAACUUACCCUAAAGUGGGGGGACAAACCUCGAGAAAUCGGGGCUAAUACCGCAUACGCUCCGCAAGGAGGAAAGCUACGGCGCUUUAGGAUGGGCUUGCGCCCGAUUAGCUAGUUGGUGAGGUAAUGGCCCACCAAGGCUCAGAUCGGUAGCUGGUCUGAGAGGAUGAUCAGCCACACUGGAAUUGAGAUACGGUCCAGACUCCUACGGGAGGCAGCAGCAGGGAAUAUUGCGCAAUGGGGUAGAAAGCCUGACGCAGCAACGCCGCGUGGGGGAUGACGGCUUUCGAGUUGUAAACCCCUUUUCUUGGGGAAGAUAAUGACGGUACCCGAGGAAUAAGUCUCGGCUAACUACGUGCCAGCCGCCGC